Molecule: long non-coding RNA, 485 nt
Filed under: Phoenix dactylifera (date palm)
Lineage: Eukaryota; Viridiplantae; Streptophyta; Magnoliopsida; Arecales; Arecaceae
Description: long non-coding RNA (PDAC_LNC011654)
Source: RNAcentral
AGUCGACUCGAGAGAGAAAUGCAGAAAAAUAGAUCUCUGGAAUCCUAAGAACGAGCCGUCUCCAAAAUGCCGAGUCAUCUCCAGAUCUUGGCGAGUCGACUCCAGGAUUGGACCGAGUCGACUCUAGGUUGGGACGGCAUUUUAAUUCAAAUCCUGAACUGUGGGCGAGUCGUCUCCAGUAAAGCAUGAGUCGACUCCAGCAACAGCCGAGUCGACUCCAGAUCGAGCGAGUCGACUCCAACCCCAACGGAUACAUUGUCAGGAGGUGCAGACUGUGCAGAACGGCUACAAAUCAGUGUCUAACGGCUAUUUUUCAAAAGGAACUGGUUAAAUAGCCCGAGUAAAUAGUAAUAGAAAACAAGAGAGUUACUCCAUCUGUGCAUUAAGGCAUUUCCAACUACCAAGAGUCCAUUAAGAGAAAAGACAAGCAAAAGAAGGAAGAAAGGCAUUCAAUUCAUUCCUAGAAGUUUUUCCUUCGCUUUCAA